This 336-nucleotide ribosomal RNA is filed under the name Triticum aestivum (bread wheat). Its description in RNAcentral is "partial small subunit ribosomal RNA". The record is from RNAcentral. Lineage: Eukaryota; Viridiplantae; Streptophyta; Magnoliopsida; Poales; Poaceae.
CUAGAUAUGUCCCGUAUAAACUAUGGCAUCAUUUCCCCCAUCCCCAAGGUAGUUGGGGCGACGGGCAUCAGACACUUUAGGCCUAUCACUGUGACCAACAUUCUGGAGCGGAUCUUUGCUAAAGUGUGUGCGACCCGCCUGGCCCUGGUGGCCGAGAGGAUUACGCACCACCUCCAGACCGCAUUUCUGAAGGGCAGGCAAAUUCAUGAUGGGAUCUUGGCCCUUCGUGAAAUUGUCCAUGAGGUGGCCUCGCAAGGCCAUAAGGGCGUUUUUCUUAAGUUGGACGUCCAAAAAGCUUACAAUCGACUAGACUGGUCCUUCUUGCGGUUGGUGUUG